CACGUAGGGUGCGAGCGUUGUCCGGAAUUAUUGGGCGUAAAGAGCUCGUAGGCGGUGUGUCGCGUCGGCCGUGAAAACCUGCAGCUUAACUGUGGGCGUGCGGUCGAUACGGGCAUCACUGGAGUUCGGCAGGGGAGACUGGAAUUCCUGGUGUAGCGGUGAAAUGCGCAGAUAUCAGGAGGAACACCGAUGGCGAAGGCAGGUCUCUGGGCAUUAACUGACGCUGAGGAGCGAAAGCUAGGGGAGCAAACGGG
Molecule: ribosomal RNA, 254 nt
Filed under: uncultured bacterium
Lineage: Bacteria
Description: partial 16S ribosomal RNA
Rfam family: Bacterial small subunit ribosomal RNA
Source: RNAcentral